AGAGUUUGAUCAUGGCUCAGAACGUACGCUGGCGGCACGCCUUAUACAUGCAAGUCGAACGCAGUAGCAAUACUGAGUGGCAAACGGGUGAGUAUAAUGUGGGAAUCUGCCUUUUGGUUUGGAAUAACACGGGGAAACCUGUGCUAAUACCGAAUAAGCCUUCACAGGGAAAGUUUUAUACGCCGAAAGAUGAGCCCGCACUUGAUUAGCUAGUUGGUGAAGUAAAAGCUCACCAAGGCAACAAUCAAUAGCUGUUCUUAGAGGAAGACCAGCCACAUUGGGACUGAGACACGGCCCAGACUCCUACGGGAGGCAGCAGUAAGGAAUCUUGCACAAUGGGGGAAACCCUGAUGCAGCGAUGCCGCGUGAGUGAAGAAGGCCCUUGGGUUGUAAAACUCUUUCGUCGGGGAAGAAAAUGACUGUACCCGAAUAAGAAGGUCCGGCUAACUUCGUGCCAGCAGCCGCGGUAAUACGAAGGGACCUAGCGUAGUUCGGAAUUACUGGGCUUAAAGAGCUCGUAGGUGGUUAAAAAAGUUGAUGGUGAAAUCCCAAGGCUCAACCUUGGAACUGCCAUCAAAACUUUUUAGCUAGAGUGUGACAGAGGAAAGUGGAAUUUCUAGUGUAGAGGUGAAAUUCGUAGAUAUUAGAAAGAAUACCAAUUGCGAAGGCAGCUUUCUGGAUCAUUACUGACGCUGAGGAACGAAAGCAUGGGUAGCGAAGAGGAUUAGAUACCCUGGUAGUCCACGCCGUAAACGAUGGGCACUAAGCGUCCGACGGGUUCGACCCUGUUGGGUGCUGCAGUUAACGCGUUAAGUGCCCCGCCUGGGGAGUACGGUCGCAAGACUAAAACUCAAAGGAAUUGACGGGGGCCCGCACAAGCGGUGGAACAUGUGGUUUAAUUCGACGCAACGCGAAGAACCUUACCUGGGUUUGACAUCCCCGGCCGACACCAGAGAUGGUGUUUUCUCUUCGGAGACCGGGUGACAGGUGCUGCAUGGCUGUCGUCAGCUCGUGUCGUGAGAUGUUGGGUUAAGUCCCGCAACGAGCGCAACCCUUGCCCUCAGUUGCCAGCAGUUCGGCUGGGCACUCUGGGGGGACUGCCGGUGACAAGCCGGAGGAAGGUGGGGAUGACGUCAAGUCCUCAUGGCCUUUAUAUCCAGGGCUACACACGUGUUACAAUGGGGGUCACAAAGGGCAGCGAAACGGUGACGUGGAGCGAAUCCCAAAAAAGCCCUCUCAGUUCGGAUCGCAGUCUGCAACUCGACUGCGUGAAGCUGGAAUCGCUAGUAAUCGCGGAUCAGCACGCCGCGGUGAAUACGUUCCCGGGCCUUGUACACACCGCCCGUCACACCAUGGGAGUUG
This 1362-nucleotide ribosomal RNA is filed under the name uncultured bacterium. RNAcentral describes it as "partial 16S ribosomal RNA". It matches the Rfam family "Bacterial small subunit ribosomal RNA". The record is from RNAcentral.